AGCUCCAAUAGCGUAUACUAAAGUUGUUGCAGUUAAAAAGCUCGUAGUUGGAUUUCGGGGCGGCGCGGUUGGUCAGCCGCAAGGUAUGUUACUGGCCGCGCUGUUCUUCUUCGCCAAGACUACGUGUGCUCUUAAUUGAGUGUGGGUAGGAUUUGCGACGUUUACUUUGAAAAAAUUAGAGUGUUCAAAGCAGGCUUGUGCUUGAAUACAUAAGCAUGGAAUAAUGGAAUAGGACUUUGGUUCUAUUUUGUUGGUUUCUAGAACCGAAGUAAUGAUUAAUAGGGACAGUUGGGGGCAUUCGUAUUUCGUUGUCAGAGGUGAAAUUCUUGGAUUUACGAAAGACGAACUAAUGCGAAAGCAUUUGCCAAGAAUGUUUUCA
RNAcentral lists this ribosomal RNA (379 nucleotides) under uncultured eukaryote. Its description in RNAcentral is "SSU rRNA". It matches the Rfam family "Eukaryotic small subunit ribosomal RNA", at positions 587 to 972 of the family's 1831-position model. The record is from RNAcentral.